RNAcentral lists this long non-coding RNA (314 nucleotides) under Mytilus galloprovincialis (Mediterranean mussel). The record is from RNAcentral. Lineage: Eukaryota; Metazoa; Mollusca; Bivalvia; Mytilida; Mytilidae.
GGGGCAUAACACCUGUUUUAGGUUUCUGGAAAGACAAAAUCAUCUUUUACUAUAUAACCAAAGGUCCUAGACCCAUGGGGUCUUCAGCAAUGACAUUGGGGACUAAUGACCUUGACAAAGGUCAAAAGGUCAAAGGUCAAGGUCAUGUCCCAUAUAGCGAAUUUGGUGUUUUUAACCUUAUUUAAAGGUUUUUCAGUGUGUUUUAAAGCUUUUCAAUACAUUCUACGUCUAUUUGAACAUGUAUUUUACAUUACAAAAGGAAAGACCUCUCAAUUGUUCAAGAACAAUUGACAGUUUAAUUAUUAUUAUUUUUU